AAUCGACCUCGGAUCAGGCAGGGAUACCCGCUGAACUUAA
RNAcentral lists this ribosomal RNA (40 nucleotides) under Lichenosticta alcicornaria. RNAcentral describes it as "partial 28S ribosomal RNA". Lineage: Eukaryota; Fungi; Ascomycota; Lecanoromycetes; Lecanorales. The record is from RNAcentral.